Molecule: long non-coding RNA, 632 nt
Organism: Amphimedon queenslandica
Lineage: Eukaryota; Metazoa; Porifera; Demospongiae; Haplosclerida; Niphatidae
Exons: 5
Source: RefSeq, a predicted model, not a curated record
GAAAUUUGUGGCACAGGAAAUGAAUUCGUAGAAAAUAAUUCAUUUCCGGUUCCUGUUAUAUUUCUUCAUGCUUCACCACCACUCUCGCCAUCACUGGUAAGACUGGUACAGCAGUGGCACUAUCGAGUACAAUAGAAUAGAUACAUACAGAUACUAGUCAUGUCUAAGGCAGAGGAAGAUAUCAAGAAGGUUGUUGCUGGAACAGAGUAUCCAGUAAUUGAAGAAAUAGCCCUGAAAUUCAAGCCAAAGGACACGCUUAUAGGGAUAGGUUCUUCUGACAGAGUGCGCUUUGCAGCACACAAGGGAACAGGAUGUUGCUGUCAAGUAUUCCAUAUUAGCAAGAGAGCAUAAAGAAUUAGAACAAGAGUUAUUAAUUUUCAAUUCUCUUCAGAAACAUGAUAAUAUUGCAGUUCUCCUUGGAACAGGACCAAAUGAGCGCUUCAUUAUAAGGGAAUUUGCUCCUUAUUCUUUGGAAACAGUAUUACAUGGGUCAUAUCCUCAUUGCUAUACUUAUGAAUAUAAUCAUGUGAUGCAUUGGGCUCGUCAAACUGCUGUAGGUCUGGAGUACAUACACAGUAAAGGAUUUCUCUGUCCAGGAAUAAAACCAUCGAAGUAAGCAUGAAGUAGGAAAA